CCCGAGGCUAGAGUCACGCCUGGACACUGACCCGUUGUCCUGGUGUGCUAGAGUGCUCGCAGAGGAAAAAACGUCUUUGCUUAUUCAUUGGCUGAAAUCUGCUGUGACCCAGUCAAUCACCAACUCAGACACACUG
Molecule: small nucleolar RNA, 136 nt
Organism: Labrus bergylta (ballan wrasse)
Lineage: Eukaryota; Metazoa; Chordata; Actinopteri; Labriformes; Labridae
Product: small nucleolar RNA SNORA3/SNORA45 family
Source: Ensembl